UGAACGCUAGCGAUAGGCCUAACACAUGCAAGUCGAGGGGGCAGCACAUGAGUAGCAAUACGAUGGUGGCGACCGGCGCAACGGGUGAAGUAACACGUAUGCAACCUACCUCUAACAGGGGGAUAACCCGUUGAAAGACGGACUAAUACCCCAUAAUACGAGGGGCUCCGCAUGGAGAUAUUUGUUAAAGAUUUUAUCGGUUAGAGAUGGGCAUGCGUUCCAUUAGCUAGUUGGUGAGGUAACGGCUCACCAAGGCGACGAUGGAUAGGGGAACUGAGAGGUUUAUCCCCCACACUGGAACUGAGACACGGUCCAGACUCCUACGGGAGGCAGCAGUGAGGAAUAUUGGUCAAUGGAGGCAACUCUGAACCAGCCAAGUCGCGUUAGAAGGAUGAAGGUCUUAUGGAUUGUAAACUUCUUUUGCAGGGGAAUAAAUAGCGGUACGUGUACCGUUUUGCAUGUACCCUGCGAAUAAGGAUCGGCUAACUCCGUGCCAGCAGCAGC
RNAcentral lists this ribosomal RNA (504 nucleotides) under uncultured bacterium. Its description in RNAcentral is "bacterial SSU rRNA". It matches the Rfam family "Bacterial small subunit ribosomal RNA", at positions 30 to 518 of the family's 1533-position model. The record is from RNAcentral.